UCCAGACUCCUACGGGAGGCAGCAGUGGGGGAUAUUGCACAAUGGGGGAAACCCUGAUGCAGCGACGCCGCGUGAGUGAAGAAGUAAUUCGUUACGUAAAGCUCUAUCAGCAGGGGAGAAAAUGACGGUACCUGACUAAGAAGCCCCGGCUAACUACGUGCCAGCAGCCGCGGUAAUACGUAGGGGGCAAGCGUUAUCCGGAAUUACUGGGUGUAAAGGGAGCGCAGACGGCAGUGCAAGUCUGGAGUGAAAGCCCGUGGCUUAACUGCGGGACUGCUCUGGAAACUGUGCAGCUAGAGUGUCGGAGGGGCAAGUGGAAUUCCUAGUGUAGCGGUGAAAUGCGUAGAUAUUAGGAGGAACACCAGUGGCGAAGGCGGUCUGCUGGACAGCAACUGACGGUGAGGCGCGAAAGCGUGGGGAGCAAACAGGAUUAGAUACCCGAGUAUG
Molecule: ribosomal RNA, 447 nt
Filed under: uncultured bacterium
Lineage: Bacteria
Description: bacterial SSU rRNA
Rfam family: Bacterial small subunit ribosomal RNA
Source: RNAcentral